GAAGGUGGUGACACUGGGUGUUGGGUAAUCUUAUUUAUCCUUUUGGAAUUCAAAGAAGGUGGGAGGAAAGGAACCCAUCCUUGUAGCACAUGGAGGGGCCUUGAAACCCCAUUGCUCCUGCCAACACUACUUAGCUCAUCCAUUUAUUCAUUCAUGCCAGAGACUGAUCCUCAAGACUUCUGAAAAUGUGUUAAGAGCAGGCCCUCCAAUCACACGAGACAGAAUGUGAUUAAAAACUUAGAGCUGUCUUUAGGCUAAUAAGCAGCAGAAACUAAACCCAAGUGCAGAGGAAUGAAGACAGAUAUUGCAAAUAUUGAAGCCUCGUAAAUAUUAUUUUGCAAAUGGAAGCAUUUCAGUCAGGGGUUUCUGAUAAGGUUUGGGUUAGACUAUAAUCAGCAUGCACUCUUCUCUAAACUGAUUAGAGUCCUUGCUCCCUCAGUCCUCCUGGGUGGCUGUAGCAUGCAGAAAAAGGCAGCUGGUGACAUGCUGUGAAUUGGAAGUGGCUUCUAUUUACUUCUUCUCCUCCUACUCAUAUGGCCUGAGAUGGUGCCCAGUUCAAGCAGAAAUAAAACACCAUGCAGAGCUGACUGGCCGAAGUCCCUGGAGCCAAGUGUGGAGACUUGCUUUAGAGAUUGCCAGAUUAAAGGCCCACAAUUCCUUUUAAGUAGGAAGGAUGUUCUGAGCAGCAAAACAUAUCAAUAAAAUGCUUGUACAAUGAAAUUAGCUGUGGAACCUGCAAGAUAAACCUGGGACAACUAAUUGCAUCCAAGGAAGAUUAACAAAAGUGUUCUAUGGAAAGAAAUCAACAGUGUGAAUGGAAUGUAACCAAUAUCUCAGUGGUUCCUGUAGCUCGACACAGCGCACUACACUCUCUGGAGCCACAAAAGGGAGAAAAUGUACCUUCGAACACUCCUGCAUGAUGAAUUUUUCCACCUCUACAGAAAUUCCUGGUCACAGGGCAAAUCUCUUGGCUUUCUGUGUGUCCCAACCAUGACAGGUCGACUGGCCUGAAGACCAAGAAUCCUGCUGCUACAGGUAAUUAAUAUGCUGUACACUGUUUGCCUCUUUCCUUUUAAAGACCCCCUGGC
Ochotona curzoniae (black-lipped pika) is the source of this 1088-nucleotide long non-coding RNA. RefSeq lists it as uncharacterized. The record is from RefSeq and is a predicted model, not a curated record. NCBI's taxonomy places the organism in Eukaryota, Metazoa, Chordata, Mammalia, Lagomorpha, Ochotonidae. The transcript is spliced from 3 exons.